Long non-coding RNA from Triticum aestivum (bread wheat), 2240 nucleotides. RefSeq lists it as uncharacterized. The record is from RefSeq and is a predicted model, not a curated record. The transcript has 3 exons. Lineage: Eukaryota; Viridiplantae; Streptophyta; Magnoliopsida; Poales; Poaceae.
UCCCGAAAGUUCCCCUUCCUCCUCUCUCGCAAAGAAACAGAGUCUUCCAGAACUCCAAAAUUCCUCACCGCCGGCCACUCCUUUCUCUUUCCCGGUGACCAUCCGAGUUGAAUUGGGAGAAGGUCCCUCCCCUUGUAUAGCUGUAGUUUUAAGGGUCUCACUAAAUCAGGUUUUGCUUCGAGCUUGCCGAGCAUCUCUCCUUCUAGAUCUGGCCGUGUAGGUCAUUGGAGACAGAGAGGAUAGCGGCGGUUGCUGCCAUGUCCAAGCAGCGGAGGAUUUUUGCUGGUGGUGAGCCGCUCGUUCACGGCGGCGCUGGCACCAACUACCCCGACCUAUUGUGUCCUCUCUCAACCACUAUCUCCUCUGUAAGUUAAGUUUUUCUCCUAUCAGAUCCAAGAAAUUGAUCAAUUGUUUGGGAGUAGAGAUGCGUAUCAGACCCAUGCGUGAUUGAAACCUUGGUCUCUCUAAACAUGUGAUUUGUUAAAGGUUUAUCCGCACAGUUCCUUGUGAGAUGCAGAAUUAGACUUUCACUGUACUCCAUCCCAUCAGGUUGGAACAAGAUUUUCUAUUCAGUAUAUCUAGACUAUUUUUUUUUAACUGUGACCUGCGUUAGAUCUUUGGUGCAAGGUAAGUAGAGAUCAUGAUCAAGGAUGACUAAACAUUAUUAAGCAGAGAAUUUCUCAAGUCCCACACUCAAGCAAUUUUUUUUUAAUUGAGACGCUGGCUAGGUAGUGGCUAGCGAUAGCAAUUUAACUAACCUACCACGGACGGCGCCACGGCGGGAUCAGAGGAUGCACGUAGCACCGUGCUGAUCCUCCAGCCUCAAGGCGCAGCCUGUUGUCUCGGCGCGCACACAGAGCUAAUCCGCAGGCAGAGUGCAGCAGCACAUGGCGGCACAAGCGACGCGAUGUUCAUAGUAGUUUGGCUAGCUAGAAGAUAUACAGGACAGGGAAGAGGGCAGAAAAGCUACAAUUUUUCUUUUCUGUUUUUCUGUGUUCGUGUUGUCGAUUUCCCAAAAAAAAGCUGAAUUUCAGUGGAGCAAAGGCAUGAACUGUAGACCAUAUACAUUAUUUUUAUGUACAAGAGUUAUGGACUACUUUGAUUUUUCAUCAUGUUUAAUGUUUGAGUUUGCCCCACCUAGAUUUUUAUUCUUCCUCCGCCACUGCCUACCAUGGUCGUAGACUAGACUAAGCAUGCGAAGUGGAGCCGUAGAUCACACGGCCAAAUCAGAUUUUGUGCAUUGUAUGGUCUCUUGGCAGUUUUAGAUUCCUCUUAAAAAAUAAUACCAUUGUGUUUAUGUUGAAUACUAUUUGGGUGUUGAUAUUGAUAUCAUACGACAGUGAGGCAAUUUGUAGUUACCGCUAGAGGAAUUGACUUUGAUAUCAUACAACAGUGAGGUAAAAAUGUUUUUGACACCUCAAAAUUUACCAAUGAUUUCAAUAGAUCAGUUUCGACAUAUACUACUGUUAGAAGAUGAUACAACUUUUAUUGGUGAAGUUGACAUCAAAAUUGGAGGUUACAAAUCAUUGUACAGUUCUAUAGUGUCGGUUAGUUUUGUUUGAUAGGUACAUCUUCAUCUCUUGUACAUUUUGUUUCUUUGCUCAGUAUAAAAUGUAUUGUAGGUGUUCAUUGUCUUUUUUUGCCAAAAUAUACUAUUGGCCCUCUAUAGGGUCAUUAUUUCUCCUUUGCGUAAACAUACUACAGAUCAUCAUGUAUGCAGUAGUGAUUGUAUGAUGUCGUUCUAGGUGAUAAGAUAGAUGAAGCAAGAGCUCGAGAGCUAAUAUUGUUGCUGCAGGAGACAAGGCUAUACUAUGCUUGAUGAAUGAUUCCAUGACCUGAGAGAUGCCUAAGUUAUGUAAGUCGUGCCUAAAAAAAUUCUUCUCUUCAUGGCGAGCGCUACUGCCACUUCCACAUAUUUCACAAUUUGUAAUUAUUGGUUGCGGUGCUUGCAUGCCUUGCCAUUGAGGAACCCAAUGUUGGAAGGAGACCGGCGCACCUCACAUAAAUUUCCAAUAGUAAUUUAGCUUGGUGGACAAGGCCAUUCUAUUUUUGUCUUCUGCUUUGCUUGUGUUUUGUGACGAAAGAGGAAAUUUUCUAACACGUUGAGCCCCAUCAGAUUGGAGCCAAAGAUGAAACCAGUAGUCGCUAACUCCAUUGCACAGAUUUCUUAUUGAGGCAUUGUCGUUCUUUCAUUAUUCAUAUUAAGGUUAGGUUAGAGUGAUGUGCUUAAUGAUCACCAU